This 1440-nucleotide long non-coding RNA is filed under the name Solanum tuberosum (potato). RNAcentral describes it as "long non-coding RNA (STUB_LNC001550)". Lineage: Eukaryota; Viridiplantae; Streptophyta; Magnoliopsida; Solanales; Solanaceae. The record is from RNAcentral.
AGAAACUGAUCUAUCAACAUGGAGGACCUAACAUCUAGUUCAGCCGCGCGAAGAAGUUGGAGAAUCUCUAGAAGGUAACUCUAUAUGUUAGAACUAGUUAUAUAUAAGAGAAUAAAAUUAUUAAAAAAUAGAAAUUAACGUUAAAAUAAAAUGUUAUAAUUACACAUUGUAAUUUAUUUGUCGUCAUUACAAAUCAUAAAAUCUAUUAUAAUUGAUGAAUAUAAUUUUCUUCAAAAUUACGAUCUGAAAAUAAUUUUUAGUUUCAUAUAUCUGUAUCUAUCUAUCUAUACUACCUUAAAAGCAUGAACUCUCAAAAAUGAAUGUUGAAUUACUAUAAUACCCCAAUUAAAAAAUACACAAUUUAUUAUUUUUAUUAAUUAAUUACUUAUAUUAUAUUAAAUAUAGAUACUUUUUUCACAUUAAACAGUUGUGACUUUUGCGAUGAAUUGUGACUUUUUUGGAGGGUUGAAACUUUUUUGAGGGGUUGUGACAUUUUCGAUGAGUUGUGACUUUUCAGAAGGGUUGUGAUUUUUUCAAAGAGUUGUGACUUUUUCAAAGCAUUGUGUCUUUUAUGAUAUGUUGUAACUUUUUCAAAGGGUUGUGACUUUUCUGAUGAGCAGUGCCUUUUUCGAAGGGUUGUAACUUUUCUGAUAAGGCACAAUUAGCACAUAUUCAUAACACAAUUUGUUAGCUAUAAAUAGAAGUGUUUCCUCUCAUUUUUAUACUAUAGUUUUCAAGUUUUCUACAUUUCUUCUUCUUAAAAAAUCUCAAGUGUUAUUUGCAACAAUUGAUCAAGUUCGAAAUUCAACGAAACUUGAGGUACUACAUAAGAAAGAGUUGGUGAAUAAAUUGUAGCAACUUAUUCAUCAAUUCAUACUUGCAUUAUCCUCGUACGAUUUUCAUCACGUACAUACUUCAAUAUUAUUUGUAUCAUUUUAGAAUAUAAAUAUACUUUUAAUUAACCUACAUAUUUUAUUUGUUAAAAAAGACAUAUUUCCUACGAAUAGUCACAACAAUUUCAACCUUCAUCUUUCUUCGAUCAUAAAUCACAAUCAUCCACUCCUUAUAAAUUCUUGGGGAUCUCUUUUCUGUGACUAUUUGAGAUCACUUAACAAUUUCAUAAAUGAUUCAUCUCUAAUCCAUUAAUAUGUUUCUUUGAUGCUCUUAUCAUUGGAAUUUAGGUAUUGGCUUUCUAUUAAAGAAGAGAACAGAGAAAUGUGCAAUUAACUAUGAACUGUGAUUCACAAAGAAAACUAUUAUAAAUAGUGCAAGGGGAUUUUCAUUUAAUUUUAUUGUUUUGAUUCUUUAAUUAAUUUCUUUUGUGUUUUCAUUCAAGAGAGAACUUAAUAAUUUGUGUUUACGUAAUCAGUGAAAAUUGACGAAUACAUACAUUGUAGAUUAUUUUUCCUAAGAAAAUUAAUUGAUCAAGUUGUGGGAGAG